RNAcentral lists this ribosomal RNA (253 nucleotides) under uncultured bacterium. RNAcentral describes it as "partial 16S ribosomal RNA". It matches the Rfam family "Bacterial small subunit ribosomal RNA", at positions 524 to 776 of the family's 1533-position model. The record is from RNAcentral.
UACGAAGGGGCCUAGCGUUGCUCGGAAUCACUGGGCGUAAAGCGCACGUAGGCGGACUCUUAAGUCGGUGGUGAAAUCCUGGAGCUCAACUCCAGAACUGCCUUCGAUACUGAGAGUCUUGAGUCCGGGAGAGGUGAGUGGAACUGCGAGUGUAGAGGUGAAAUUCGUAGAUAUUCGCAAGAACACCAGUGGCGAAGGCGGCUCACUGGCCCGGUACUGACGCUGAGGUGCGAAAGCGUGGGGAGCAAACAGG